ACGGUCCUACGGGGCGCAGCAGUAAGGGAUAUUGGUCAAUGGGGGAAACCCUGAACCAGCAACGCCGCGUGAGGGAAGACGGUUUUCGGAUUGUAAACCUCUGUCCUCUGUGAAGAUGAUGACGGUAGCAGAGGAGGAAGCUCCGGCUAACUACGUGCCAGCAGCCGCGGUAAUACGUAGGGAGCGAGCGUUGUCCGGAUUUACUGGGUGUAAAGGGUGCGUAGGCGGCUUGGCAAGUCAGUAGUGAAAUCCAUGGGCUUAACCCAUGAACUGCUCUUGAAACUGUCGGGCUUGAGUGAAGUCGG
Molecule: ribosomal RNA, 305 nt
Filed under: uncultured bacterium
Lineage: Bacteria
Description: bacterial SSU rRNA
Rfam family: Bacterial small subunit ribosomal RNA
Source: RNAcentral